RNAcentral lists this ribosomal RNA (1471 nucleotides) under uncultured bacterium. Its description in RNAcentral is "16S ribosomal RNA". It matches the Rfam family "Bacterial small subunit ribosomal RNA". The record is from RNAcentral.
UCAGAGUGAACGCUGGCGGCGUGGAUUAGGCAUGCAAGUCGCGCGAUCCCCCCUUCGGGAGGGAUAGCGGCAAACGGGUGAGUAACACGUGGGUAAUUUACCCUUAAACCAGACACAGCUUCGUGAAAACGGAGGUAAUAUCUGAUAAUACCUUUGGUGUGUAUGCACCGAUGGUUAAAGGUGGGGACCGCAAGGCCUGCCGUUUAAGGAUAAGCCUGCGUCCUAUCAGCUUGUUGGUGGGGUAAUGGCCCACCAAGGCUAUGACGGGUAGCUGGUCUGAGAGGAUGGUCAGCCACACUGGGACUGAGACACUGCCCAGACUCCUACGGGAGGCUGCAGUCGAGGAUAUUUAGCAAUGGGCGAAAGCCUGACUAUGCGACGCCGCGUGAGGGAUGAAGGUUCUCGGAUCGUAAACCUCUUUUGUCAGAAAAGAAACCUUCAAUGUUAAUAGCAUUGAAGCUGACGGUACCUGACGAAUAAGCCACGGCCAACUCCGUGCCAGCAGCCGCGGUAAUACGGAGGUGGCAAGCGUUACUCGGAAUUAUUGGGUGUAAAGGGCAAGUAGGUGGUUUUGUAAGUGAGGGGUGAAAUCUUGCGACUCAAUCGCAAAAUUGCCUUUCAAACUGCUAAACUUGAGGAUGGAAGAGGAAAACGGAAUUCCCGGUGUAAGGGUGAAAUCUGUGGAUAUCGGGAAGAACACCAGCGGCGAAGGCGGUUUUCUGGUCCAUCUCUGACACUGAAUUGCGAAAGCUAGGGGAGCAAACAGAAUUAGAUACUCUGGUAGUCCUAGCCGUAAACGAUGAGCACUAGGUUUUGGCCUUAACCGGUCAGAGCCGAAGCUAACGCAUUAAGUGCUCCACCUGGGGACUACGGUCGCAAGGCUAAAACUCAAAGGAAUUGACGGGGGCCCGCACAAGCGGUGGAACAUGUGGUUCAAUUCGAUGCUACGCGAAAAACCUCACCAAGGCUUGACAUGCAGGAAGUAGUGAACUGAAAGGGGAACGACCUGUCAAAUCAGGAGCCUGCACAGGUGCUGCAUGGCUGUCGUCAGCUCGUGUCGUGAGAUGUUGGGUUAAGUCCCGCAACGAGCGCAACCAUUACUUUUAGUUGCCACUGUUUUGUAUCGUAAGAUAUGGGAUAAGCACUCUAAAGGGACUGCCUGGGUUAACCAGGAGGAAGGUGGAGAUGACGUCAAGUCAGUACGGCCUUUAUGCCUUGGGCUACACACGUGUUACAAUGGGGAGUACAAAGGGUUGCCAACCCGCGAGGGGGAGCUAAUCCCAGAAAACUACCCUCAGUUCAGAUUGGAGUCUGCAAUUCGACUCCAUGAAGCCGGAAUCGCUAGUAAUGGCGGAUCAGCACGCCGCCGUGAAUACGUUCCCGGGCCUUGUACACACCGCCCGUCAAGCGAUGGGAGUUAGGGGUACCCGAAGUCCUAUGUAGAUAGGCCGAAGGUAAAACUGAUGACUGG